This 25-nucleotide non-coding RNA is filed under the name Cricetulus griseus (Chinese hamster). The record is from RNAcentral. Lineage: Eukaryota; Metazoa; Chordata; Mammalia; Rodentia; Cricetidae.
AUUGGGUGGAAAUCUGAGAAGCUGA